CAAGUCAUUACACAUGCAAGUCGAGCGGGGGAGGUAGCUUGCUACCGGACCUAGCGGCGGACGGGUGAGUAAUGCUUAGGAAUCUGCCUAUUAGUGGGGGACAACAUCUCGAAAGGGAUGCUAAUACCGCAUACGUCCUACGGGAGAAAGCAGGGGAUCUUCGGACCUUGCGCUAAUAGAUGAGCCUAAGUCGGAUUAGCUAGUUGGUGGGGUAAAGGCCUACCAAGGCGACGAUCUGUAGCGGGUCUGAGAGGAUGAUCCGCCACACUGGGACUGAGACACGGCCCAGACUCCUACGGGAGGCAGCAGUGGGGAAUAUUGGACAAUGGGGGGAACCCUGAUCCAGCCAUGCCGCGUGUGUGAAGAAGGCCUUAUGGUUGUAAAGCACUUUAAGCGAGGAGGAGGCUACUUUAGUUAAUACCUAGAGAUAGUGGACGUUACUCGCAGAAUAAGCACCGGCUAACUCUGUGCCAGCAGCCGCGGUAAUACAGAGGGUGCGAGCGUUAAUCGGAUUUACUGGGCGUAAAGCGUGCGUAGGCGGCUUAUUAAGUCGGAUGUGAAAUCCCCGAGCUUAACUUGGGAAUUGCAUUCGAUACUGGUGAGCUAGAGUAUGGGAGAGGAUGGUAGAAUUCCAGGUGUAGCGGUGAAAUGCGUAGAGAUCUGGAGGAAUACCGAUGGCGAAGGCAGCCAUCUGGCCUAAUACUGACGCUGAGGUACGAAAGCAUGGGGGAGCAAACAGGAUUAGAUACCCUGGGUAGUCCAUGCCGUAAACGAUGUCUACUAGCCGUUGGGGCCUUUGAUGCUUUAGUGCGCAGCUAACGCGAUAAGUAGACCGCCUGGGGAGUACGGUCGCAAGACUAAAACUCAAAUGAAUUGACGGGGGCCCGCACAGCGGUGGAGCAUGUGGUUUAAUUCGAUGCAACGCGAAGACCUUACCUGGCCUUGACAUACUGAAAACUUUCAGAUAUGGAUUGGUGCUUCGGGAUCUAGAUACAGUGCUGCAUGCCUGUCGUCAGCUCGUGUCUGGAGAUGUGGUAGUCCGCACGAGCGCACCUUUCUACUUGCAGCAUCCGGAUGGCAACUUUAAGGAACUGGCAUUGACCACUGGAGGAGCGCACACGUCACUCAUCAUGGCCUACGCAGUCUUACACCGUGCUAAUGGGGUCGGUUCG
Molecule: ribosomal RNA, 1172 nt
Filed under: Acinetobacter baumannii
Lineage: Bacteria; Pseudomonadati; Pseudomonadota; Gammaproteobacteria; Moraxellales; Moraxellaceae
Description: bacterial SSU rRNA
Rfam family: Bacterial small subunit ribosomal RNA
Source: RNAcentral